Molecule: ribosomal RNA, 253 nt
Filed under: uncultured bacterium
Lineage: Bacteria
Description: partial 16S ribosomal RNA
Rfam family: Bacterial small subunit ribosomal RNA
Source: RNAcentral
UACGUAGGGGGCAAGCGUUAUCCGGAUUUACUGGGUGUAAAGGGAGCGUAGGCGGCAAGGUAAGCCAGAAGUGAAAGCCCGCGGCUCAACUGCGGGACUGCUUUUGGAACUAUCUAGCUAGAUUGCAGGAGAGGUAAGUGGAAUUCCUAGUGUAGCGGUGAAAUGCGUAGAUAUUAGGAGGAACACCAGUGGCGAAGGCGGCUUACUGGACUGUAAAUGACGCUGAGGCUCGAAAGCGUGGGGAGCAAAUAGG